UGGGGAAUAUUGCACAAUGGGCGCAAGCCUGAUGCAGCCAUGCCGCGUGUGUGAAGAAGGCCUUCGGGUUGUAAAGUACUUUCAGCGGGGAGGAAGGGAGUAAAGUUAAUACCUUUGCUCAUUGACGUUACCCGCAGAAGAAGCACCGGCUAACUCCGUGCCAGCAGCCGCGGUAAUACGGAGGGUGCAAGCGUUAAUCGGAAUUACUGGGCGUAAAGCGCACGCAGGCGGUUUGUUAAGUCAGAUGUGAAAUCCCCGGGCUCAACCUGGGAACUGCAUCUGAUACUGGGAAGCUUGAGUCUCGUAGAGGGGGGUAGAAUUCCAGGUGUAGCGGUGAAAUGCGUAGAGAUCUGGAGGAAUACCGGUGGCGAAGGCGGCCCCCUGGACGAAGACUGACGCUCAGGUGCGAAAGCGUGGGGAGCAAACAGG
This 429-nucleotide ribosomal RNA is filed under the name Chloroflexota bacterium. Its description in RNAcentral is "Chloroflexi bacterium partial 16S ribosomal RNA". It matches the Rfam family "Bacterial small subunit ribosomal RNA", at positions 355 to 776 of the family's 1533-position model. Lineage: Bacteria; Bacillati; Chloroflexota. The record is from RNAcentral.